GAUGAACGCUGGCGGCGUGCCUAAUACAUGCAAGUCGAGCGAACAGACGAGGAGCUUGCUCCUUUGACGUUAGCGGCGGACGGGUGAGUAACACGUGGGUAACCUACCUAUAAGACUGGGAUAACUUCGGGAAACCGGAGCUAAUACCGGAUAAUAUUUCGAACCGCAUGGUUCGAUAGUGAAAGAUGGCUCUGCUAUCACUUAUAGAUGGACCUGCGCCGUAUUAGCUAGUUGGUAAGGUAACGGCUUACCAAGGCAACGAUACGUAGCCGACCUGAGAGGGGGGAAGGCCCCCACGGGAGUUGACACCCGGCCCAGGCCCCAAGGGGAGGCAGCAGUAGGGAAUCUUCCGAAAGGGGGGAAAGCCGGACGAAGCACCGCCGGGGGGGUGAAGAAGGUUUUGGGAUCGUAAAACUCUUUUAUGGGGGAAAAAAAAACGUGUAAGUAACGGUGCCCGCCUUGACGGUACCUAAUAAGAAAGCCAGGCUUAACUCGGG
RNAcentral lists this ribosomal RNA (497 nucleotides) under uncultured bacterium. RNAcentral describes it as "partial 16S ribosomal RNA". It matches the Rfam family "Bacterial small subunit ribosomal RNA", at positions 28 to 506 of the family's 1533-position model. The record is from RNAcentral.